Molecule: transfer RNA, 74 nt
Filed under: Saprospiraceae bacterium
Lineage: Bacteria; Pseudomonadati; Bacteroidota; Saprospiria; Saprospirales; Saprospiraceae
Also listed under: 1 other name
Description: tRNA-Asn
Rfam family: tRNA
About the family: Transfer RNA (tRNA) molecules are approximately 80 nucleotides in length. Their secondary structure includes four short double-helical elements and three loops (D, anti-codon, and T loops).
Source: RNAcentral
GCCUCCUUAGCUCAGUUGGUUAGAGCGCCGGACUGUUAAUCCGUAGGUCCUAGGUUCAAGUCCUAGAGGGGGCG